This 427-nucleotide ribosomal RNA is filed under the name uncultured bacterium. RNAcentral's name for it is "partial 16S ribosomal RNA". It matches the Rfam family "Bacterial small subunit ribosomal RNA", at positions 355 to 774 of the family's 1533-position model. The record is from RNAcentral.
UGGGGAAUAUUGCACAAUGGGCGCAAGCCUGAUGCAGCCAUGCCGCGUGUAUGAAGAAGGCCUUCGGGUUGUAAAGUACUUUCAGCGGGGAGGAAGGUGUUGAGGUUAAUAACCUCAGCAAUUGACGUUACCCGCAGAAGAAGCACCGGCUAACUCCGUGCCAGCAGCCGCGGUAAUACGGAGGGUGCAAGCGUUAAUCGGAAUUACUGGGCGUAAAGCGCACGCAGGCGGUCUGUCAAGUCGGAUGUGAAAUCCCCGGGCUCAACCUGGGAACUGUAUUCGAAACUGGCAGGCUAGAGUCUUGUAGAGGGGGGUAGAAUUCCAGGUGUAGCGGUGAAAUGCGUAGAGAUCUGGAGGAAUACCGGUGGCGAAGGCGGCCCCCUGGACAAAGACUGACGCUCAGGUGCGAAAGCGUGGGGAGCAAACA